UGGAAAUAGACAGACAGGUAGCUAUAUGUAGAAAAAACAGGUAGAUAGAUAGCCUUAGGUAGAAAAAAAGUAGAAAUAGAUAGACAGCCGUGGGUAGAAAAAUAUAGUUGACAUGCAAACAGGUCGAGUGGAAAUAGACAGACAGUUAGCUAUCGGUAGAAAAGCAGGUAGAUGGACAGCCUUAGGUAGGUAGAAAAAAAGUAGAAAUAGAUAGACAGCCGUGGGUAGAAAAAUAUAGUAGACAUGCAAACAGGUAGAGUGGAAGUAGACAGGCAGGUAGCUAUAGGUAGAAAAAACAGGUAGAUAGACAGCCUUAGGUAGAAAAAAAGUAGAAAUAGACAGCCAUGGGUAGAAAAAUACAGGUAGAAACACAGGUAAAGAGACAGACAGUUAGCAGACACAGAUAGACAGGAGGUUAUAUAGACAGACAGAGACAGACUUACCGAGAAAACUUAAACCCAGACAGACAGUAGGUUGGCAAUCAGACAUAAACCAGCAGACAGAUAUUGCGGCAGACAGACUGAUAAGGCACAAGACUGGCACACACACACACACACACACAUACACACACACACACACACACACAUACACAUACACAUAGAGUUGGUAUGUUUGUCAUCUGGGAACACAAGCCCCACACACAUGUUCAGAAUAAGGGACAGACAGACUCCAAGACAGACACAGACAGACAGACAGAUAGAUAGACCGACAGACAGACAGAUAGAUAGAUAGAUAGACAGACAGACAGACACACAAGCCCUGUAAUGUACGUUAUUUCAAAAACUUUCGUACACAAGUUUCAGAGCUAAGGCAAAAACCAUCAUUCAAACAACAACCAAAGUAUUGCAACAAAAAAAUUUCCUUGAUUAUGGUGCUCAAUUUUGCUCCCUAGAACCUGCGUAGAGAAGAAUGAGGAGAAUGAUAGGCUUAAAAACUGAUAGGCUUAGAAACUUACCCUACAGAGAGAGAGACUGAAGAAACUUAAUUUGAAGCUUAAUUUGCUCUCUUCGGGAAAACUUGGACUGCCCGAAGACCCGACUGGUGGAGUAUUCGAAUAUGAGGCUAAAAAUAAUAGAAAUAAUAAUAGUAAUAAAAAUAGCGAUGAUAGUCAACACUCAAGAUAAGAUUAGGUUAUUUCAACGUGUAAAAGAAGCUAUAAAUAGGAGAAAUAAUAAUAAUAGUAAUAAUAAUAGCAAUAAUAGCCAACACACAAGCUAAUACUAGGCUAUUUGACUAUUUAAAAAAUCUAGAAAUAUAAAUAAUAAUAGCAAUAAUAGCCAACACACAGGCUAAGACUAGGCUAUUUGAAUAUAUAAAAGAAGCUAUAAAUAGGAGAAAUAAUAAUAAUAGUAAUAAUAAUAGCAAUAAUAGCCAACACACAGGCUAAGACUAGGCUAUUUGAAUAUAUAAAAGAACUAUAAAUAGGAGAAAUAAUAAUAAUAGUAAUAAUAAUAGCAAUAAUAGCCAACACACAGGCUAAGACUAGGCUAUUUGAAUAUAUAAAAGAACUAUAAAUAGGAGAAAUAAUAAUAAUAGCAAUAAUAGCCAACACACAGGCUAAGACUAGGCUAUUUGAAUAUAUAAAAGAAGCUAUAAAUAGGAGAAAUAAUAAUAAUAGCAAUAAUAGCCAACACACAAGCUAAGACUAGGCUGUUUGAAUAUGUAAAAGAAGCAAAAAAUAGCAUAGAUAAUAGGAAUAACAACCAAUACAUAAGCCUAUACCAACAUGUGUGUAAAGUGAGAGUCACCUUGUUAUAAUAAAGACAGAUAGAUGGGCAAACAAACAGACAGACAGACAGACAGACAGACAAUCUCCUCCUCUCCUCCUCCUCUGAUGCGGUGAAAGAUGGGGCGAUACAUCCAGCCGGGUGAAAGAAUAUUGUGAAAUAAAUCAGACGGAUCAAAAAUAGAGGUGUACCCAAAGCCCAGGGAAUAGAUCAUUGUUAGUACGGACCGAACGAGUGGGAGAAAGUGGAGAGUAAAUUUGAGUGAAGGAAAUGGAUGAGGGAGAGAUAGACAGAUAGACAGACAGACAGGUAAGCAGGAUAGGAGGAUGAGUUUACAGGUUUAGACAGGGGAAAAAGAUUAUAAGGAGGUAGGGAGAAAAGGGAUGAGAGAGAGGGAGAGAUAGACAGAUAGACAGACAGACAGGUAAGCAAGAUAGGAGAAUGGAUUUACAGGUUUAGACAGGGGAAAAAGAUUAUAAGGAGGUAAGAAGAAAAGGGAUGAGAGGGGGAGAGAUAGACAGAUAGACAGACAGACAGGUAAGCAGGAUAGGAGGAUGAAUUUACAGCUUUAGACAGGAGAAAGAAAAGAUUAUAAGGAGGUCUGAGGUAGGUUGGGUAGGAAGAAAAUGGAUGAGAGAGGGGGAGAGAUAGACAGAUAGACAGACAGACAGGUAACCAGGAUAGGAGGAUGAAUUUACAGCUUUAGACAGGAGAAAGAAAAGGUCAUAAGGAGGUUGAGGUAGGUUGGUAGGGAGAAAAUGGAUGAGAGAGAGAUAAGACAGACAGACAGACAGACAGAUACUAAGAAGGAUAGGAGGAUGAGUUUACAGGUUCAGGCAGGGAGAAAGUAAAGAUUAGUAGGAGGUCCAAGGUAGGGUGGAAAGGUAUGCAGGUAGGUUAGGGACAGGUGUGGGGC
Long non-coding RNA from Eriocheir sinensis (Chinese mitten crab), 2643 nucleotides. RefSeq lists it as uncharacterized. The transcript has 3 exons. The record is from RefSeq and is a predicted model, not a curated record. Lineage: Eukaryota; Metazoa; Arthropoda; Malacostraca; Decapoda; Varunidae.